AACGAACGCUGGCGGCAUGCCUAACACAUGCAAGUCGAACGAUGCCUUCGGGCAUAGUGGCGCACGGGUGCGUAACGCGUGGGAAUCUGCCUUUCGGUUCGGAAUAACUCAGGGAAACUUGAGCUAAUACCGGAUAACGUCGCAAGACCAAAGAUUUAUCACCGAAAGAUGAGCCCGCGUAGGAUUAGCUAGUUGGUGAGGUAAAGGCUCACCAAGGCGACGAUCCUUAGCUGGUCUGAGAGGAUGAUCAGCCACACUGGGACUGAGACACGGCCCAGACUCCUACGGGAGGCAGCAGUGGGGAAUAUUGGACAAUGGGCGAAAGCCUGAUCCAGCAAUGCCGCGUGAGUGAUGAAGGCCUUAGGGUUGUAAAGCUCUUUUACCCGGGAAGAUAAUGACGGUACCGGGAGAACAAGCCCCGGCUAACUCCGUG
This 433-nucleotide ribosomal RNA is filed under the name uncultured bacterium. RNAcentral describes it as "partial 16S ribosomal RNA". It matches the Rfam family "Bacterial small subunit ribosomal RNA", at positions 29 to 507 of the family's 1533-position model. The record is from RNAcentral.